This 157-nucleotide small RNA is filed under the name human gut metagenome. RNAcentral describes it as "Clostridiales-1 RNA". It matches the Rfam family "Clostridiales-1 RNA". The record is from RNAcentral.
AUUACAGUGCCGAAGGUUCAGCUUUGCGUCAUGCUCGCAUGUAAGCAAAGAUGGAACUUUACGGCACGCCCCACAAUGAGGAAGUAGAGAUGCGAAGCGUCUCGGAUUCUGAAUGUGGGUAGAAUCGCGGGAGCUGCUGUGCAGCGUAGCGAUUCGU